This 61-nucleotide ribosomal RNA is filed under the name Podosphaera xanthii. Its description in RNAcentral is "partial 28S ribosomal RNA". It matches the Rfam family "Eukaryotic large subunit ribosomal RNA", at positions 1 to 60 of the family's 3401-position model. The record is from RNAcentral. RNAcentral also lists the same sequence under 1 other name. Lineage: Eukaryota; Fungi; Ascomycota; Leotiomycetes; Helotiales; Erysiphaceae.
AUGACCUCGGAUCAGGUAGGGAUACCCGCUGAACUUAAGCAUAUCAAUAAGCGGAGGAAAA